RNAcentral lists this transfer RNA (76 nucleotides) under Thiothrix sp. Its description in RNAcentral is "tRNA-Lys". It matches the Rfam family "tRNA". From Rfam's summary of the family: Transfer RNA (tRNA) molecules are approximately 80 nucleotides in length. Their secondary structure includes four short double-helical elements and three loops (D, anti-codon, and T loops). Further hydrogen bonds mediate the characteristic L-shaped molecular structure. tRNAs have two regions of fundamental functional importance: the anti-codon, which is responsible for specific mRNA codon recognition, and the 3' end, to which the tRNAs corresponding amino acid is attached (by aminoacyl-tRNA synthetases). tRNAs cope with the degeneracy of the genetic code in two manners: having more than one tRNA (with a specific anti-codon) for a particular amino acid; and 'wobble' base-pairing, i.e. permitting non-standard base-pairing at the 3rd anti-codon position. RNAcentral also lists the same sequence under 1 other name. Lineage: Bacteria; Pseudomonadati; Pseudomonadota; Gammaproteobacteria; Thiotrichales; Thiotrichaceae. The record is from RNAcentral.
GGGUCGUUAGCUCAGUCGGUAGAGCAUCUGACUUUUAAUCAGGUGGUCGAGCGUUCGAAUCGCUCACGACCCACCA